Molecule: ribosomal RNA, 760 nt
Filed under: uncultured archaeon
Lineage: Archaea
Description: bacterial SSU rRNA
Rfam family: Archaeal small subunit ribosomal RNA
Source: RNAcentral
GGAUAACUUACCCUUUAGGACUGGGAUAACUCUGGGAAACUGGGGAUAAUACUGGAUAUUAGGCUAUGCCUGGAAUGGUUUGCCUUUGAAAUGUUUUUUUUCGCCUAAGGAUAGGUCUGCGGCUGAUUAGGUCGUUGGUGGGGUAAUGGCCCACCAAGCCGAUGAUCGGUACGGGUUGUGAGAGCAAGGGCCCGGAGAUGGAACCUGAGACAAGGUUCCAGACCCUACGGGGUGCAGCAGGCGCGAAACCUCCGCAAUGUACGAAAGUGCGACGGGGGGAUCCCAAGUGUUAUGCUUUUUUGUAUGACUUUUCAUUAGUGUAAAAAGCUUUUAGAAUAAGAGCUGGGCAAGACCGGUGCCAGCCGCCGCGGUAACACCGGCAGCUCGAGUGGUAGCUGUUUUUAUUGGGCCUAAAGCGUUCGUAGCCGGUUUGAUAAGUCUUUGGUGAAAGCUUGUAGCUUAACUAUAAGAAUUGCUGGAGAUACUAUUAGACUUGAAGUCGGGAAAGGUUAGAGGUACUACCGGGGUAGGGGUGAAAUCCUAUAAUCCUGGGAGGACCACCUGUGGCGAAGGCGUCUAACUGGAACGAUCUUGACGGUGAGUAACGAAAGCCAGGGGCGCGAACCGGAUUAGAUACCCGGGUAGUCCUGGCCGUAAACGAUGUGGACUUGGUGUUGGAAUGGCUUUGAGUUGUUCCGGUGCCGAAGGGAAGCUGUUAAGUCCACCGCCUGGGAAGUACGGUCGCAAGACUGAAACUUAA